Potamilus streckersoni is the source of this 73-nucleotide non-coding RNA. The record is from the annotation of a GenBank genome assembly. Lineage: Eukaryota; Metazoa; Mollusca; Bivalvia; Unionida; Unionidae.
GCUCCAGUGGCCUAGUGGUUGGAGCAUCCGCCUGGGAUGUGGGAGGUCAUGGGUUCAAACCCUGGCUGAGUCA